Molecule: unclassified non-coding RNA, 210 nt
Filed under: Ascomycota sp.
Lineage: Eukaryota; Fungi; Ascomycota
Description: partial contains small subunit ribosomal RNA, internal transcribed spacer 1, and 5.8S ribosomal RNA
Rfam family: Eukaryotic small subunit ribosomal RNA (bases 1-47)
Source: RNAcentral
AAAGUCGUAACAAGGUCUCCGUUGGUGAACCAGCGGAGGGAUCAUUAUAGAGUUUUACAACUCCCAAACCCAAUGUGAACAUUAUCGUAUGUUGCUUCGGCGGGCUCGCCCGCCGGGGGACCCAAACUCUUGGUUUUCAUACUUGGCUUCUGAGUGGCGUAAUGCAAAACAAAUAAAUCAAAACUUUCAACAACGGAUCUCUUGGUUCUG